UUUGAAAUCUGGCGUCUUCGACGUCCGAGUUGUAAUUUGAAGAAGGCGACUUUGUAGCUGGUCCUUGUCUAUGUUCCUUGGAACAGGACGUCAUAGAGGGUGAGAAUCCCGUGUGGCGAGGAUCCCAGUUAUUUGUAAAGUGCUUUCGACGAGUCGAGUUGUUUGGGAAUGCAGCUCUAAGUGGGUGGUAAAUUCCAUCUAAAGCUAAAUAUUGGCGAGAGACCGAUAGCGAACAAGUACAGUGAUGGAAAGAUGAAAAGAACUUUGAAAAGAGAGUGAAAAAGUACGUGAAAUUGUUGAAAGGGAAGGGCAUUUGAUCAGACAUGGCGUUUGCUUCGGCUUUCGCUGGGCCAGCAUCAGUUUUAGCGGUUGGAUAAAUCCUCGGGAAUGUGGCUCUGCUUCGGUAGAGUGUUAUAGCCCGUGGGAAUACAGCCAGCUGGGACUGAGGAUUGCGACUUUUGUCAAGGAUGCUGGCGUAAUGGUUAAAUGCCGCCCGUCUUGAA
RNAcentral lists this ribosomal RNA (503 nucleotides) under Kluyveromyces marxianus. RNAcentral describes it as "eukaryotic LSU rRNA". It matches the Rfam family "Eukaryotic large subunit ribosomal RNA", at positions 114 to 658 of the family's 3401-position model. Lineage: Eukaryota; Fungi; Ascomycota; Saccharomycetes; Saccharomycetales; Saccharomycetaceae. The record is from RNAcentral.